GCAUGUCUCAGUACCGCUAGAACGUCGCUACCGAGCGGGUCGUCAGAACUUCAGGAACUUCGGGACUCGCGGCGUAUUAAGUGCCUGUAAACUAAUAAUUACCACCCCGAUUAUAAGUGCUGAGAGCGGGGUAAUAGUUUGUUUGUCGAUCGGCACGAGUUUUGUUGCUCUAACAAUUGAUAUUGUCGAGACUGCCGGCUGAGUUGUUGUGUAUUUAGGUUUAGCUGAACUCAUCACGCUGCACUCUCGAGGAAUCGUUACGAAAGCCAACGAACAGAACGUUACGCCGAGGUUACGCCAUUAAUCUCUGGAUGAGUUACAGCAAAAAUACGCGAGUAAAAUGCGGCCCGUAAUUCAAUAACCUCGUCCGUAGACAGACUCAGCCGAAUGGCCUGAUGUACGUCACCCUUAUCAAUGGACCAUAUGACGAUUCAACAAGCCUGGAACGGUGCCGACGACGACGACGAUUGUGUGUGAAGACUGUGUACGAAUCUACCCGGUGUAAAGUGUGUGAUCAUUAAGCAGAAGUAAACUUGAACCGGCAAUUGAUUAGGGAGCGGAGUUUUCGGUGAAGUGCUAGACUGUGGGGAGUAUCAGUUGAAUUGAGGACUCGCACGUGGAAGGACCGCGUGGUGGUGAAGAUCGUAGCGUAAUUCUCGAAGAAUCCGGCGCCAACAAAGCUAGCACCGAAAUGAUUGGAAUAAAGUACCUGAGCGAGGCCCACCUAAAGGGUUUCGAAAAAUACAAGUACAACAGCGUGGACACCAGCAUACUCAGCGUGUACGUGAUGCACCCGUUCUGGAACUGGCUGGUGCAGUUCUUCCCGCGGUGGAUAGCUCCGAACCUGCUGACGUUCACCGGCUUUCUGCUCACGGUGGUCAACUUCUUCCUGAUCGGGUACUACGACUUUGGCUUCACGGCGGCCACCAAGGAGGUCAAUCCGAUCCCGGGCUGGGUGUGGAUAUUGGCCGCCAUCAAUCUGUUCGUGGCGUACACGCUGGAUGGAAUUGACGGCAAGCAAGCGAGAAGGACGGGGACCAGCGGACCGCUGGGGGAACUGUUUGACCACGGGUUGGACUCGUACUCGACUCUGUUGAUCCCCUUGUACGUGUUCAGUUUGUUUGGGAUUAUGGAUCUACCCCCGGUUCGGAUGCACUUUGUGAUGCUCAACGCGUAUCUGAACUUUUACCUGUCGCACGUGGAAAAGUACAUCACGGGAGUUAUGUUUUUGCCCUGGGGUUACGACUUCGUCAUGUGGGGCGUUUCGAUUACGUUGGGCCUCACGGGAAUUUGUGGACCGGAGAUCUGGCAAAUGACUAUUUUCGGCGUUAAGCCUAGCUUGAUCUUCGAGUUGACUCUUUACAUCUCUGCUGUAUUGACGAGUCAUCCGAUUAUCAUCCACAACAUUUACAAAUCAUACCGGGACAAAACUGGUAAGAUGCGUCCGUUUGGAGAAGCAAUCCGGCCAAUGAUUUCCCUACUCUCGCUGUUCAUCAUCAGUACCAUUUGGGUCCUGGCUUCGCCCAACAGUAUUGUCAAUAUGGAGCCACGGAUGUUUAUUGUACUUAGUGGAACGAUCUUUUCUAACAUCAACUGUCGACUAAUUGUCGCCCAAAUGACUGAUACUAGGGCGGAUUGCUGGAAUGCUAUGCUCAGUUUGUUGACGGCAGCGACAAUCGUAUGUGCCAUUCCGUACGACCUAUUGGGACUGCCAAAGCUUUGGAUCGAGUACGAACGUAGCAUGUUGUAUGCGCUAGCAUUCGUGGUCACGGUUGGUCAUUUGCACUACGGACAGGGUGUAGUCCGGGAAAUGUGCAGCCACUUCCGGAUCAAGUGUUUCAAAAUACCACCGUACGGUAAGUUACUGGGCUACUAAAACAUAAGGAUUCACACACAAACGUCUAACCCCCCGCGCGUGAGAGAGAGAAAGACCCAGGUGUACUACUCCACACAGUGGCCAUCGUCGUGUAGCUGUAGAUGUGUAUAGGACAAAAAUGCAUGCAUUAUCAAAGAAAGAGCGAGAGAUCGUCAAUUUACAAACCAUCAGAGGGGGCUCCCACCUAGUGAGUGCCCAAAUAACGACGACGCCAGCCGCAGUCACGCCGAACAACACCACCACCGAUGAAAUGGUCGAAAUUGAGCUGGGAGCUUAGACGCGAAUGCAUUACUGACGAACGUGAGCGUGUAUGCGAGUAAGUACAUUGCGGAUUAAGAUUACUUAAAUUGUAAAUAAUGAUAGAAUAAAUGUCGUUGAUUCAGAAUAAAUCUGUA
RNA transcript from Culex pipiens pallens (northern house mosquito), 2271 nucleotides. It is a transcript of the gene named ethanolaminephosphotransferase 1, with no coding region annotated. The record is from RefSeq and is a predicted model, not a curated record. The transcript has 9 exons. NCBI's taxonomy places the organism in Eukaryota, Metazoa, Arthropoda, Insecta, Diptera, Culicidae.